UUGAGUUGAAAGGCUAAAUGGGCAUUUGAAUUCACUCCAUAGAGCAUCUCUAAUCAGCAGCCGAGCGGAACCCGGAGAAGUAACAUCAUCAAGUGUGAGAUGGAGUGUUAAGGGAGAAGAGAAUAAAUAAAAGAAAAGGGAACUGAUGGAAUGACUUAAAGCCUGAACUUUCUGCUUGAUGUGGAAAACCACAGGAAACCACUGAAGCUUUGAUGGAAUGGAGAAACGGGUACAGAACAAUGUUUUACAGAGGUGAUCCAGGCAGCACAAAGAAGUGCGGACAAGGAAGUCUGAAGGUGACAUGAAAAAAGCCCAACGAAUCUAAGGGCCAGAGCCAUGAAGAGCAGUCAGGAACUCUUCUCCAUCGUACCUGGAUUUCUAUUUCUUCUUCACAAGACUCCUGAUAAAGCCGAUCCCUGAGCAGAGACCGGAGCAGGCUAACCAUCAUGGAAGUCGAGACAACAUGGGUGAUCUUUCCGCCCGUAGGACGUGUUCCUUUUGCUUGGAGUCCAGUUUGCUUCUGAUAACCAAACACGUAUCUUAAACAUACCAAAUAAAGCGGUCAAUUCUCAAUUCGAAACAAAAA
Ornithorhynchus anatinus (platypus) is the source of this 586-nucleotide long non-coding RNA. RefSeq lists it as uncharacterized. The record is from RefSeq and is a predicted model, not a curated record. NCBI's taxonomy places the organism in Eukaryota, Metazoa, Chordata, Mammalia, Monotremata, Ornithorhynchidae. The transcript has 3 exons.